Molecule: ribosomal RNA, 496 nt
Filed under: uncultured bacterium
Lineage: Bacteria
Description: partial 16S ribosomal RNA
Rfam family: Bacterial small subunit ribosomal RNA
Source: RNAcentral
ACGAACGCUGGCGGCGUGCCUAAUACAUGCAAGUUGAGCGAUGAAGAUUGGUGCUUGCACCAAUUUGAAGAGCAGCGAACGGGUGAGUAACGCGUGGGGAAUCCGCCUUUGAGCGGGGGACAACAUUUGGAAACGAAUGCUAAUACCGCAUAACAACUUUAAACAUAAGUUUUAAGUUUGAAAGAUGCAAUUGCAUCACUCAAAGAUGAUCCCGCGUUGUAUUAGCUAGUUGGUGAGGUAAAGGCUCACCAAGGCGAUGAUACAUAGCCGACCUGAGAGGGUGAUCGGCCACAUUGGGACUGAGACACGGCCCAAACUCCUACGGGAGGCAGCAGUAGGGAAUCUUCGGCAACGGACGAAAGUCUGACCGAGCAACGCCGCGUGAGUGAAGAAGGUUUUCGGAUCGUAAAACUCUGUUGGUAGAGAAGAACGUUGGUGAGAGUGGAAAGCUCAUCAAGUGACGGUAACUACCCAGAAAGGGACGGCUAACUACGUG